UUGGAUAAAAGGGUGAGUGAAUCACAGACCCUUGUAAGGCACAUGCUUGCCUGUGAGUCUGGAAAUGGCAAUGCUGAAUUAGCUGUAAAUAGGCCCUAUGAGUGCAGAUGGAGAACCCAAGACUCAAAGUCCAAAAGGAUGAUGUAAUUCAGGUUUUGUCCAGACAGCUGUCCUAUCUCUCCAAUGAGUGGGCAUAGGAAUCCAGGGAGUGUGUUUGUUUUUUCACACAUGCAUUCAUUGACUAUCUACCACAUUCCAGGUAGGAUGUCAGGCAUUGAGGUUUUAGCAAAUCAGCCUAAUCAGGUAGGCAGUUGUAGCAGCAUUACCAACAACUAAUCUACUCAUAUUCCUAACCAGUGCCAGCCCCCUACCACUACUGCUUGAUAGUGAGUGGAAAGAGCUCCCCUUUCACUUUAGGGGACUGUGAAAGCCAUUUCUGAAACCAGCAAGUGUGCCCUUACUAAAUGAAUUCUAAAAAUGCUUUUUGAGGAGAAGGAAGGAGAAAUCUCUGGCUCAUGCUCAGGAUUUUGAAGGCAGAAUUAGAUUUGGCAGUAGGAAAAAUUCAAUUCCAUUUAACAAAGAUUUAUUUAUUUUAAAAGUUCUUUUAUAUGCCUGAAACCACAAAGUUGAAAAAAAGGAGUCGGUCAUGGACUCUGCUCUCUAGGGAUUAACAAUCUAGGGACUGAGGAAGACCCAAAAAUAGUUGAAGUGGGUGCAAUAAUUCCAGCAUCAGGCAGAUUAAGCAAGUGCUAUAGUAGGGUAAAAGUGAAACACCUGUAGGGCUCAGUGGUUAUCAUAUAUUUUUGGAGGACUGAGGAAGGAAGAAGUCUGAGAGCGCUAUAGCUUGUCCUCAGUGUCUUCCCGUUUCCUUGAUGGGAUCUUCUCUUUAAAUUAAAUUACAUUAAAUUGAAAUUUUGAUUAGUUAAUACAUUCCAAUAUUCAAAAACCAAAACAAUUUCAGUAGAUGUAUGUUAAGAAGUCUUGCUCCCAUGAUGUCCCAGAAAUUUUGUUUUCACCACGUUCCAUUCAGAUCAUUUCCUCCACUCCUGUUUCCUGCCAGUAAGCUUUUGUAUUGGUUUCUUUUGUAUUCUUCUAGGGCUAUUUUAUGUAAACAAAGCAGAUAAGAAUAUUCCUUUUUAUUACUUCCUUUUUCUUCCACAAAAUUACAUUAUAUACAGUGUCCAUCUUGCUUUUUUCCCUUCACAAUAUACCCCAGAGAUGACUCUAUAUCAAUAAAUAAAGAGCGUCUUGAUUCUUGCUUUAAGAAUCUUGCUUUAAAUCUCUUGCUUUAUAAAUGCAUAGAAAACCUUGCAGUUUGCUUACAACUCCCAAUAGAUGGACACUUGGAGUGUUUGCUGUUAAAAAAUUGUUGCACAAACCAUGUACAUACAUCAUUUCACAUGUGUGCAGGUGUAUCUAAAGGGCAAAUACCCAGAAGUAGGACUGCUCAGAGAUCCACUCUCUUUUCCUUUUUUCUUUUUUUUAAAUCAAGCUAUCAUUAUUCCACAGUGUCAAAGAUAACUUACUUUGCCAUACAGACUCUCAAAGACCAAAGGAAUGGAUCUCUUAGGGUUGAAUUCUAGGUCUAUGAGAAAAUAUUAAGUGGGAUCCUAAGACACUUUCCACAUCUUAAGAUAUGUAGGAAGCCAUUUAUUUCACAUAAUCCUCUUAUAUGAUUGACUCUAUUAUCAGAUCCUGAUUUCCAAAUCCAUCAAUAUUUGUUUUGGCCUGGUCAGUGGCUCUCUUUGUCCUCAUUCAUCUGUUCAACCAACAAAUGGUUUUUGGGCACUUUCUAGACCUUAAGUCUGACAGACACUGGAGUUAGAGUGGACUCUUACUUGGUCCUGCUUCCUAGCUUAUAAUCUAGACAGAGAUAUAAACAUCUAAAUACACAUUUAGUAUGGUAGUUAUUACGGUACACAUAUAUAUAGGUUGAGCUUUGCUCCCAGCAGCUCCACCUUCUCUGUGUAUGCUUUUGGCAAGCUACUGGCAUCUCUCACUGCCACUAGCCAUAUGCUUUUCAUAAUGCCCAGAAAUUGGGGUCAGAAAACUUGGAUUUUGGUUUAAUCUGUGCUACUAAUUAAUAUUGUAAUGUAAGUACAUUAGUAACAUAAUAAGCUUGUAGUUUUUAGAAUAUCAAAAUUCUUCAUCUAAGAUGUGAGUAUCAAAUGAUAUCAAAGCUUAAAAGUGCUGUGCAAAUUAUUGUUUACAUCCUUUCUCCCCUAGGAAACAGAACUGUGAGUGAGAACAACCAAGGAUUGUGGGAAUAAUUGCAGUGCAGGCCCACUGCGUCCUGUGCAGAGUGCUCCUGGCAGUCUCCACCUGGGACCAUUGAUACAUGCUAUUCUACCUGUUCUCUUUGAUGCUUACAAUUGUCUAGUUAGCUCUUUCCUCAGUGUCUUGGUUGGAUUACAAGGUAGGAAAGGGGAAAGCCAGAAUCAACAGGUCACCUACAAGCCCAAGCACAUUACCUCUUUGAAUCAUAGAGAAGCCAGAAAAUUCUGAGAAGGAGCAAGACAAUUGCUGAGGUUUCAUGUUGGUAAUUACCUAUCACUCCCCAAGUGGGUUAUAGAGAAAACCUCUCUAAAUAGCUUUAGCUUUAGCUACAGUCUUCCAGUCUUGAUUAGAACGGUAGAUUUUUGGAGCUAGAAAUGUUAGAAAUCAGCAAUCUCAACAUUUUCUUCUUCAUUUUUAUGAACAGUGAAAAUGAGGUCCAGCAAGGUUAAGUGACAAGGUCAAGAUCACAUAACAAGUUAGUGGUGUGAGCUGAUUUCCAAACAUUCCUUUUCCAUCUGCAUGCAUCAAUUUCACCUAUGUUCCAUUUUGACUCCCAUCUUAAUACAUUGUUUAAGGGGUCUAAACAGUUCCUCUCCUCCCACUUGGGAGUUUCUCCUGUUAAGAUCACUUCAGGGAGUCUCCUGGGUUUUGAAGAAAAGAACAUUUUCAGCAGAUUUUUAUUUUCCUCUGCUGCCUCCACCUCAACCCAUACAAAUUAUUCUGAGCCUAGGAAUAUCUAGAAUGAGCUCAGGUUCAAACUGGUCCGUGGCUUCUGUUAUUCCAGGGAGAGGUGAUGUGGCUUUCCCCUUUCCAAUGUUGUUUGUGGUCCUAGCAUGCCAGGGUUCUUUCUCUGAGGAGAAGUUCUGUGAUUUUUAUUACCAGUAAUGUAAAACAGGAAACCAAUACUAUCAUUUUCACUGUAGGUUUUAUUUCCCUGGUGACAUAUGAAGAAAAUUGGUUCAGUGAAGAAGCCAGCUAUAAGGGUGAAAAUCUGUAGAUGGUGGGUCCACUGGAGCCUGGAAAGGGUGUGGAGUCAAGGGAAGGAGGAAAGUCUGACCCUUGGUGGGAGGGCUGAUCUCACCAGCUUCAGACAAUGGCUUUCUGUACUUCAGUUUUUAUCUGAAUAGGAAGGAGAAAAAGGGAAAGACUCCAAAAGAAUAAAGAGGGAAAGAAAGAAGGAAAGAGAGGGUACAAAAGAGACAGGGAACAAAUGAAAGAAGGAAAUGGAAGAAAAUGCUCCCAUAGGAGUGAAGAGGCCGUGAGAGAACAAGAAUCAAAGAAAAGAAGAAGGCCAUGUGUCACUCAACAGUGCAUUUAAUGUAAAUAUGACUUCUUUUUAAGAUUAUCUUUUUUUUUUUUUCUUGAUGAGUGUGAGGUAAUCAGACUCAGGCCAUGUUUCUUUGACUGCAGAGAAAUUAGAGUGAUCAAAAGACUAGGUCAGACCAGUGUUUGGCUGCAGGGACUAACACACUAAGAUCCUGUCUGGGAUGAAAGGUGAGAAUGAGGAGGAAGGGGAGGAGGAUAAAGGGGGAAGUAUUUUAGUCCACUGGGAAUAUGGGCUUGCAUAUAUUCGGUACUCAGCAUGUACUUCUUAAAACUUGCAUUCCUCCCUUUGCCACUUGCUCUGAUGCAGUCAUGGUGACACUAACUUAGAAACAAUACAAAAAUCGAUUCAUAUAUUUUUUUAAAUUGUUGUGGCCAAUACUUGGUUAGAAAUUGGGCAUCACCAAGUUUGGAAGGUAAAGGAGUGGAUGGGAGGAAAAAUUUCAUGGGCUAACAGAGGUAAGAAAGUGUUUGCUCUUCUGGGUGGUAGUAGAGAAGGAAUCUUCUAGAGUGGGCUGAGGCCCCAGGGUUGUAUAAAAUGGAAAACAACUGCACUUUAACUACCUGGAAAGAUAAAGGGAUAGCUGGUUUGAUAUUCUCAAAGUGCUUUGCAAUUAUGUUUGUUGGUGGGGCUAUCAGUCAUGAUGCUUCAACUGGUCUGUCUCCUGAAACUUGGAAUCAUUAGUAGAUGGAAAAAACAGUUGGAACUAAUUUAUCCUGACAAGACCAUCAAUUGGCUCCUCUUACAUGGAUUCCCAGGGCUGCCCUGGCCCCUACCCUUCUUGAUUCUGUUUGGCAUAAUUAUGCAUUUCUUCAAUUUUGAGAGCUACUACUCAUUCUUCCAGGAUGUCUUCUUUUUAAACUUGAGGUAGGAAGAAUCUGUUUCUCUUGCUUGAAGUCAAAGGACCCUCACCCAACUAAUAGAUGUUCUAUUCUACUACCAAAACACUGACUCCCCCCACUGUACCUUUUAAAGCUCUAGCUUUUUUAGUAAUAAAUACUCCCUAUACUUGAAAUAGACUGAUGUCCCCUCAAUUUAAUGGUAAAUCUAAUAAUCCCUGGCCUCUCUCUCAAAUGCCUGAAUGAGCCAUUUAACCCUUAGAGGCUCCAAUAGAAGGUUUAUAAACAUCCACAGAUAAACAUUUGGAUCAGACUAGGAAAAGCAGCACAUUUUGGAAGAGGUGAAUUCUAAUUCUAAAACUAACUAGCAGGUACAAUGAUUUUCCUUUUCCAUGACAUGGACUUCACAGGAUUGAUAAGAAAAAGUGAUUGAGCUCACUUAUGUAAGGAGUCACAUGGCACUUGACACAUAAGGGGACGAGUCACCACAGUCCCUAUUGGAAUAGAAGUGCCAAACUCUUGUGCUUGGGGGAAUACACUUAGCGAUGUCCAUAGUGAAUCCAGACUAGGGGUUUCAUAAUCCUUGGAAAUGUGGGCACUUGACCAGAGUCACUGAGCUCAAAGCUUCUGAUCAGAGGACACAGAAAAACACCCAGGAGCUUAAAGACAAGAGAAGGGCAAAGAGGCAAUGAUGCAGGGAUUAAAACAACAAAAGGAUGGCCUCACAGAGAGGGAAAAGGAUAGGCCAAGAGAAAGCAUCCUCAAGGCAGAACACAGGAGAGAGGUACAGAACUUUACAGCCAGAGAUCAGAUGUGUCUGGAGUUUUCUCUGGUCCUGAAAUCCCAAGUUGUUUUGUAACCUAAUGCUGGUUUAUGGGACCUAAGGGCUGGAUUAUGGGAAUAUUAUAUUCCCAUAUUUAUCCAACCUAAGGGCUGGAUUAUGGGAAUAUUAAACCAGAGCACCAGGCUAGAAAGACUGGAGAUGACAUGAAGCUGCACAAGAUACAGUUUCUGCAAACUACUCAGGCUUUCAUUAAGCAAACUUUAAUUUGUGUGUGUUCUCUCCACUGUACCUUAAAGUAAAUGUAUUCUUUAUGAUCUGGAGAGAUGCCUACUCUUCUAAUUUGGAAGAAAUAUAAAUGCUGGUAGGAUUGUCUCCAGGGAAUGUUACUACAUAUCGUCAUUAAGGGAGAAAAUAAUGAGAGUGCAGGAGAUUAACUAGUUAGUUGGGGAAUCUACUAGAAGAAAGGAAUUGACACCUCAGGGCGUAAUCUUGAAAAUUGUUCGGCACAGACAGCAACAUGCUGAGCAGAGGAGGAAUGGGA
Molecule: long non-coding RNA, 5765 nt
Organism: Mirounga angustirostris (Northern elephant seal)
Lineage: Eukaryota; Metazoa; Chordata; Mammalia; Carnivora; Phocidae
Exons: 2
Source: RefSeq, a predicted model, not a curated record